Anas platyrhynchos (mallard) is the source of this 1798-nucleotide long non-coding RNA. RefSeq lists it as uncharacterized. The record is from RefSeq and is a predicted model, not a curated record. Lineage: Eukaryota; Metazoa; Chordata; Aves; Anseriformes; Anatidae.
UCAUGAGAGUAUCUGCAAUAAAGAAACAACAGUACAUCUCUUUUGUCAGUUAGCUGUCUGCUUCAAGAUGUGAGUCCAGAUGUCUACCAGGAAACAGAUGUAUAAACUACAAAAAAGAUACAUCAGCUACAUUAUUCGUUUCCUCAGAGACAUUCAUCAGUAUUGUAGUCAUGACACAAUAACUAAAUUAAAAAAGAAAAUCAUUGGAUUCGAUCAGAAAUGUGUGAGUCAAGUCUAGAAUAACACAUGGAGUAAGCAAGAAUAAUAUGCAUGAAAAAAAACGGACACCGUUGUUUCUUCCUUCAUAUGUAUUGAGAGCCAGACUGGAAGUAAUCCAAGCAGCUUCAUUUUUGCCUGAAGUAGCAAAAGAAGUAAGAAAUUGCCUCUUUUAAACUGUAUUUCAAGCUUCUAUUGUUUAAGAUUCCUAAGAAAAGUACAGAGGGUAAAGGCAGUUAGUAAAUUAUUUUAAGAAUCUAAGAGAUACAACUAUAAAGAAAUCUUUAAAGAUGCUUCCUUACAGCCUGUUUCAACAUCAUAAAACCACUUACGCAUUCUGGGUGUAUUAUCUUCUCCUGCACCGGAACAGCAAGUUGAUGCAUCAGUUCUCGCCAGAAGACAAUAUUGCAUCAGUUCUACCAACUGUUUUUUAUAUCACUCAAGGUAAAAUACGUAUACUGUACUGCAAGAGACCUUUCAGGAGCUCUCUAGCAAUGGUACAGUAGGGUUCCUCAUACCCUUUCAUCUCCUUCAUACCUCAUUUAGUAACUACAGUUUUUCCAAAUUUUUCAUCCUUUUUUUUUCAUCCUUUCUUUGGAAAUAUAUUUCUCCAGUUAACUCAAUAACAAAAGAAAUCUAUUUCCAUUAUCGUCCUGACUGAGAAAACAGGUUUAUGGUAUUUUAUUGAAGGGUUUUAUUUAAUGCAUGUAUACACAACAGAAGUAACUGAUCAAAAACUUCCUUAAAAUGCUUCAGGAAAAAAAAAUAAUCAUACAGAAAGAGCACCAUUACCAAAGUCCCAUGACUUCUAGUUUUCACAUAAAAAAAAAAAAAAAAAAAAAAAAAAAAGCUCUUCCUUUAGCAUAUAAUGGAUUGUGAAGUAUGUGCAACCAAACACAAAGAUUAUAGUACCAGAAAGUCAAUAUGAGUAUUUUAUGAAUCCAGGUGGAUAUGAAACAAGAAUUGAUCUAACUCUAUAAAGUCCCUUUCUGACCAUGUUACAUGCCAUAACUCAAACUUCUGUUUAUUCUGUUUGAACUCAACAUGGAAAAAAAAAUCCAUAAAAUGAAAUGCAAUAGUAAAUAAAGGAUGUUAGUGUUUGGACGUAACAUCAAAACUGUCAGCACCUGUAGAAGAGUUACUUUGGGAAAACUGUUUAUGUCUCUUUUUAUCUUUCUGCCUCCAAUUGUCAAUUCUGAGUGUAUGGAAGCUGCAAAAACUUCAGUUAGUUUCUGUUCAAUGUAAUGCAUGUUAUUUUCUGCUCAUAUACAGUCAAUGUUUCAGUAAUAGCUCACCACCUGCAAAAAAGGUGAUUUCUGUAGUAUAUUACUGCAAAAUUAUAUAGCCAUAGGGAGAAACAGUAGUGGCUGCAGCAGCAAGCAUUCUUUAAAGUGUUUUUAGUACUUGAUGUCAUUAAAAAUGAUGUUGGUAGUGUACAUAAAAGAAUUGUACUUUGUUUUUUGAAAGUGAGCAACAAAUUAUUGUUUAUUCACUGAACUUCUGCAGUUCCUAUACACCUCAAAAAUACAGCAUUAUGUUUUGAUAGUGUUGAGAAAAUGUAGGCAUAAAGGCCUAUGCUGUC